Sapajus apella (tufted capuchin) is the source of this 2052-nucleotide long non-coding RNA. RefSeq lists it as uncharacterized. The transcript has 3 exons. NCBI's taxonomy places the organism in Eukaryota, Metazoa, Chordata, Mammalia, Primates, Cebidae. The record is from RefSeq and is a predicted model, not a curated record.
GUAGCCCUUGACAGUGCACACGAGGCUGAAGAGCUGGAUGACCCAGCAGAAUCCCGUCUGCAUCUGCUCCACGAAGACGCAGGCCAGGAGCUGCGGAGAGUGGGCAGAGUGGUGCCGAAGAGCAGCAGGUAGAAGCAGGCCAACAGAUAGCCCAGCCCGAAGAUGCUGAUUCGGGUGGCCCCCGUCACGAACACCACCACCAGCACCAGCCAGAACAGGUAUCGGAAGACAGCCACCUUCAGCAUGUCGAGGUAGGACCUGCCAUGGGGAAGCAUCACGGUGGGCGCCCCUGCCACCCAUCCCAGAAGGCUCCGGUGGAGGGUGGCGCAGGACAUACCUGCAGUGGAUGAAGUUGGGCACGGGGUUGGGCUCCCCCCACCGCGGCUCCAGAUGGUCAGUAUUGACGCCAGCCAUGCGCUGCCACUCUUCCGUGCGCUCCGCCGAGAACACCUGCCACUGCUGCGAGGCGCAGAGCAGCAGGAGGAAGUCACCUGCAGGAUGCGGGAGCUGCUGCUGGGCCGGGUGCACGGGGACCCACACAAGGCAGGCACAGUGCAUGUAGCCCGCCUCCCACCCCGGGCCUGGCAGGGUGUACAGCCACUGGGAGCAGACACACGCCUGCCCAGGGGAGUGGCCAGGUGCCCCUGGGGGAGCCACGGUGUGGGCAUCUGUGCGCAUGCAUAUGAGGGCAGGGCCUGCAGGCUGCCACGUGCCUGACUGCACACCUGUGCGCACAUUUGUGAGCAGACUGGAGUGUGCGUGUGUGCUCUGAGGGUCCUCUGUGGAGGCGGGGGUGGUUGGGGGACACUCACUGAUGAGGUUGGUAGAGUUGGGGGCACUGAAGAAGUCAGGCAGGUACAGCCACUUGAUGAGUGCGGAGUUCAUGGGGACAGCCCGGCUCCAGCGCCAUGGGUAAUCUGGGGUUGGGGGCGUCAUGUCAGGAAGGGCCUGGCCUGCCUGGGGCCUGAGACAUCCCAUCCCCACCUGCUCGCCAGUGUCCUCAGACCCCAGGACUUUAUCACCAACACUCAGGGUCCAUGGGUAUCAUCUCACGCCCAUCCGUGCACACACAUGUGGCGUCCUGAGAACUUAGAGACCUAAUGUCCCGUGUGUUCACACACAGUCCUUAAACUAUGCACCAAGCCCUGCGGGCAAAGGACCCAAGUGAGAGGCUAGAGGACGCGGGGAUGGGGGUGCUGGGCAUCCCUGAGUGAGUUGGGCCCACACAGCAUCACAGUCCCUGACGUGACAAUGCAUGUGAUAUAGCAGCUCUGAAAACAGUAGCUGGAAGCUGCACACAGCCACACGCCUACGGCAGGGAAAGGUUCAGCCUGUGGCAGCCACACCAGAGAACGCUGUGCAGUGUGACGGCCUGGGAUCCACAAGACAGCCUAGAGGGGCCUGCAGACCACGCGAGACAGCCUGGACGGGCCUGCUGAUGUGACGUCCUGACAGGACUAUCUGCCAGGGAUGGGCUGGGUCAGGGGCUGUUGGGGGAGGAUCCGUGGCACCACCAGCCCCUGGCCACACUUCCUGGGAGGCGUGCGAGGCAGGGAGGGUCAGUCCCUAAGGACUGUGGGACUGCAUGCAUGACGCCACUCAUCUGCAAAACCCACAGCAGCAUCUGCCGCAGAGGGAACCCCGUGACAUUAAAACAAACUUGCCCUCGAUGUCAGGGACCCCAGGACGCACUGAUCUCACAGGGUGCUCAUGGCACGGUCUUGUGGAAGGAGACAGAAGGGAAGCUGGCCUCGGCGCCUCUCGAGGGCAGGUGUUUCAGUAAGAAAGAGGUAGAGGGACGAGAAGCAGAGGCAGCCCUGUAGUGACAGGCACACCUGGUGUAGACCUCGCUCUCUGAACCUCACGCUCCUGGAGCUCCAUCACACUCCCCGGAGCAGUGGCUGUGAGUGCAGGCCUGUGCUGGGGAAGCACAACAUGAGGCAGCCGUGCCUGGAGCAGAAAACAAGACAGGCCAGGUGCGGUGCCCACGCCAGCCAUCCCAGCACUGCGGGAGGCCAAAGCGGGCAGAUCGCUUCAGGUCAGGAGUUCAAG